Mus caroli (Ryukyu mouse) is the source of this 330-nucleotide long non-coding RNA. RefSeq lists it as uncharacterized. The record is from RefSeq and is a predicted model, not a curated record. Lineage: Eukaryota; Metazoa; Chordata; Mammalia; Rodentia; Muridae.
ACUGCUUUAAGAAGAACCGGUGGUUGCAUCUUGCUUGCUGGUCGAGUUGGACUCGACAAAUGGUGCCAAAGAAAUCUGGGACCUGAUUCCCCCACCGAAGAGGUUCAGAACUUUCUGCAGUCAGGGUCUGUCGACAGGAUGAGUAUGGUGUGCCUAUGCCUGCUUUCAUGUCUGCUCAUGUGGAGGCCACAGUAGAAGAAGAAAACCAACUCCUGUAAGUUGUCAUAUGAUCCACACAUGCCAUAGCAGGAAAGGCAGUGAAUCCUUAGCAGAGCGGGGACUGGCUUCUUCUGAAGCAGGCUGGCAGAGAAGUAAUCACCAAAGUUCCUG